GGAGAGGGACAGGGCAGGGCCACCUAUUGGGCUACCCCUGUUCAUUCUUUUGUCUCUUUGGAUGCUCUGAUGCUAGGGGCCGGACUGGCGGGGGUGCAUGCUAGGGCCCCUGCCCCCAUCCACCCAGAGACCCCUCCCUCAGUGUCCGUCUGGAGAUUCUAUUCAUGUGAAGCCAACAUUCCUGGAGCCCACAGGGCCAGCAAGAUCAUCUCACACAGGCAGAUCGCUGUCUUGCCUAAUGAGAAAAUGAUGACAUGGCCCCCUGCUAUGGCCCCUGGGGACCUGAGUCCCCAGCACCAGCAUGGCAGCUUCACCCCAGCCUUGCCCCACAGCUCCACCCACAGGUCCUGGGAAGUUUCCUCCCAUGGACUCCCUGCCCCUUCCAGGCAGGGCCUUCCCAUCACCUGUGUUGAGACCUCUGAACUCCCAGGGCAUUAGAACAGCAGGCCCUUCAGGUCAUUAAGACCCCAUUGCACCAAGGGAAACUGAGGCAUGGGAUGAUGUGACCCCAGUGUCCUGCAGCCUCAACCUGCCCUCCGGCCCCACAGACCCAGCAGCACCACGCAGGGAACAGCAGAAAGGCAGGACUUCCUCCUUCCUCUUUGCCUGCUCCCCACUCCAGGUUGACAUCGCUGGGACCUCAGAGAGCCAGGUCUGGC
This 659-nucleotide long non-coding RNA is filed under the name Marmota monax (woodchuck). Lineage: Eukaryota; Metazoa; Chordata; Mammalia; Rodentia; Sciuridae. The record is from RNAcentral.